RNAcentral lists this long non-coding RNA (305 nucleotides) under Actinidia chinensis (golden kiwifruit). Its description in RNAcentral is "long non-coding RNA (ACHI_LNC003788)". The record is from RNAcentral. Lineage: Eukaryota; Viridiplantae; Streptophyta; Magnoliopsida; Ericales; Actinidiaceae.
CUCAAUCCGUCGGCCAUUAAUUACCCUCUCAAAUUUUCAGCUAAUAACCUAUAUAGCUUAGACCAUCCAGCAGUAUUUCAAUUCCAAAGCAACAGGGAUCAAUCAUCUUCCUCGUACAUUCUAAACCGAUUAGCAUUUCUUUCCCAAGAGAAGAUAAAGAAAAGAGAGAAUAUUACAAUCACUCUAUCCAGCCAUCAAGACACCCAACUACUCUUUUUAACUAUUAAAGCAGGAAAAAAGAACUACCUAAUAAUGAGAGAGUUGUGUUUCAAUAUACAUUCAAUCUUUCAAGCUAAAGUUUCGCA